GUAACGAGCGCAACCCUUGUCCUUAGUUACCAGCACGUUAUGGUGGCACUCUAAGGAGACUGCCGGUGACAAACCGGAGGAAGGUGGGGAUGACGUCAAGUCAUCAUGGCCCUUACGGCCUGGGCUACACACGUGCUACAAUGGUCGGUACAAAGGGUUGCCAAGCCGCGAGGUGGAGCUAAUCCCAUAAAACCGAUCGUAGUCCGGAUCGCAGUCUGCAACUCGACUGCGUGAAGUCGGAAUCGCUAGUAAUCGUGAAUCAGAAUGUCACGGUGAAUACGUUCCCGGGCCUU
RNAcentral lists this ribosomal RNA (293 nucleotides) under uncultured Pseudomonas sp. RNAcentral's name for it is "partial 16S ribosomal RNA". It matches the Rfam family "Bacterial small subunit ribosomal RNA", at positions 1089 to 1382 of the family's 1533-position model. The record is from RNAcentral. Lineage: Bacteria; Pseudomonadati; Pseudomonadota; Gammaproteobacteria; Pseudomonadales; Pseudomonadaceae.